CCCCAAAACAGGGGCAGGGAUAGAACCACCUUUUUUCCCCAACAGAAACAGGUCUUGGCCUGCCUCUGGAAGUCAGUGAGACCUUCCCAAAGUUGCACUCCUCUGGGUAUUUCUAAGAUGUCCAAGAGUCUGGUGGGGAUGGAGGGAUGCAGGAAGUCUGGACUUUGGGGGGGAUGGAGUUUGCUACUUCGAGUUUUUGUCUUCAUCCCUAGUCUCUUGUAAAAUUGGCUGGCUUGAGGGAGAAGGGGGAGGCCAGAAGGGAUGGUAGAGUUUAAUUCACCUGGAAGACUGCUCACCUCCACCAAGCCUCAAGCAGGUCUCAGAAGCCAAGGAUGGAAAUGGUGCCAGAGGCGUGGGAAGACGGACCCUAAAUGUCCUCUGUGGUCAGAGGAUCCCUUUGAGGGGGUUUCCAAUAGAGCCAUGAUUGGGGUGAUAUAAUACCAUAGAGAAGGAGAUGGGGGCGGGGUGGUGGAGCUCUUGCCAUCGUCUCUAUGGUAACACAAGGGGGCUCUAGGAUAUUGUCUGCCCCUGGCUCCCAGGGAAGAGGAGGAAGGGGCACAGUCUGCUCUGCGAGCUGAAUAGAGCCUGAGGUACUCCUGUCUCUCCAGAUUCCUGACCUUCCUGCAGGCCUAUAAACCUCUGCCCCAUCAAGUACCCUUAUUCUUCCUGUUCCUCCAGAUCUCCUCUCCAGUCCCCUGAGACUUUUCCAUCUUAGAACUCUUCAGCUUCUGAACCUUUGUCUCCCAAAUACCCCACUGCAGCAUCUUGAGCACCCGCUCCCAGGACCCCGACCUUGGAAUCCCUGCCCCAUAGUGCCCUGUAGAUCUUUCCUCUGAGUCGCUUCCCUUCGGCCCCCUCUGCCCCUCGCUGGGUCAGAUUCCAUCCCCUCCCCACCUUUCCCCCAGUGUCCUAAAUCCUUGCCCGCCAGAUUCAAACUCCAAUUCCCUGUACUUCAAGCUCCGGCUCUCAAACUCUGGACCUCAGCCCCGACGGUCCUCCAGAAUCCUGUCCCCCUCCCCCCAUUCAGACUCUCUGGCCCCGCCUUCCCAGUUUCAGCCCUAAAUCCAAAUAAGGUCACAGGAAGGGGCGGGGCCCGGAGCCUGGAGACCCGGUUCCUGCCAGGUCCUAAGGAGGGGCCAAGUCGGGCCCCUCUCCGGCUAGUUCCAACCAGCCCCGGCCACCGCCCCCGGACAGCACCCCCCCUCACCCGCCCCUAGGCCUCCAGGCUUGUCCUGCCCCACCCCGCCCAACCCAGCCUGGUCCUAUCCCCUUGCCCCGGGGCAGGAUCCCAGGAGAGCCCAGCCAGGCUUGGGCCAGACUUCACCCGAUCCUGGGGCGGAGGCUGGGUGAGUGGGAAGGGAGCAAAGAAGCCAAGAGGACAAAGUCCGGGGCGCUGGCGUGGCGGAGGAGCCCAGGGCCCAAGAGAGGCCCAGACCUGGAACCGGGAGAUGGCUGAGGUGACUUUGGAGGGAGCUGUCCAGCCCCCACUGUUACCCAGGGAGUACUUCUGCAAGGAGAGAAGCCUUGAAUCAGAUUCAGGACAUGGACAUUUGCGUUUUAGCCCCAUUUCUGCCACUUACUAGUGUAAGACUGACUCCUUCCUCUCUCAGGGUCUUGGUUCCCCCAUCUAUAAAGUAAAGGGUCUGGACAAGAUGAUCACUUUACAACCCUGACACUUUAAACAAAGAUAAAGAUAUGACUUCUGCAUCGAGCAAAUGAA
This is a long non-coding RNA of Phascolarctos cinereus (koala), 1720 nucleotides long. RefSeq lists it as uncharacterized. The record is from RefSeq and is a predicted model, not a curated record. NCBI's taxonomy places the organism in Eukaryota, Metazoa, Chordata, Mammalia, Diprotodontia, Phascolarctidae.